GACAGAGGGUGCAAACGUUGCUCGGAAUCAUUGGGCGUAAAGAGCGUGUAGGCGGUCCGGUAAGUCCGCUGUGAAAGUCGGGGGCUCAACCCUCGAAUGCCGGUGGAUACUGUCGGGCUAGAGUGCGGAAGAGGCGAGUGGAAUUCCUGGUGUAGCGGUGAAAUGCGCAGAUAUCAGGAGGAACACCUAUUGCGAAGGCAGCUCGCUGGGACGUAACUGACGCUGAGACGCGAAAGCGUGGGGAGCAAACAGG
RNAcentral lists this ribosomal RNA (253 nucleotides) under uncultured bacterium. RNAcentral describes it as "partial 16S ribosomal RNA". It matches the Rfam family "Bacterial small subunit ribosomal RNA", at positions 524 to 776 of the family's 1533-position model. The record is from RNAcentral.